CACGUAGGGCGCAAGCGUUGUCCGGAAUUAUUGGGCGUAAAGAGCUCGUAGGCGGUCUGUUGCGUCCGCUGUGAAAACUCGGGGCUUAACCCCGAGCCUGCAGUGGAUACGGGCAGACUAGAGGUAGGUAGGGGAGAAUGGAAUUCCCGGUGUAGCGGUGAAAUGCGCAGAUAUCGGAAGGAACACCUGUGGCGAAAGCGGCUCACUGGACCAUUACUGACGCUGAGGCACGAAAGCUAGGGGAGCAAACAGG
RNAcentral lists this ribosomal RNA (253 nucleotides) under uncultured bacterium. RNAcentral describes it as "partial 16S ribosomal RNA". It matches the Rfam family "Bacterial small subunit ribosomal RNA", at positions 524 to 776 of the family's 1533-position model. The record is from RNAcentral.